CCUACGGGAGGCAGCAGUGGGGAAUAUUGCACAAUGGGGGAAACCCUGAUGCAGCGACGCCGCGUGAGUGAAGAAGGAAUUCGUUAUGUAAAGCUCGAUCAGCAGGGAAGAAAAUGACGGUACCUGAGUAAGAAGCCCCGGCUAACUACGGUCCAGCCGCGGCGGUAAUACGUAGGGGGCAAGCGUAAUCCGGAUUUACUGGGUGGAAAGGGAGCGUAGACGGCAGUGCAAGUCUGGAGUGAAAGGCGGGGGCUCAACCCCCGGACUGCUCUGGAAACUGUACGGCUGGAGUGCAGUAGAGGUAAGUGGAAUUCCUAGUGUAGCGGUGAAAUGCGUAGAUAUUAGGAGGAACACCAGUGGCGAAGGCGGCUUACUGGACUGUAACUGACGUUGAGGCUCGAAAGCGUGGGGAGCAAACAGGAUUAGAUACCCGGGUAGUC
RNAcentral lists this ribosomal RNA (440 nucleotides) under uncultured bacterium. Its description in RNAcentral is "partial 16S ribosomal RNA". It matches the Rfam family "Bacterial small subunit ribosomal RNA", at positions 338 to 795 of the family's 1533-position model. The record is from RNAcentral.